Molecule: ribosomal RNA, 324 nt
Filed under: Triticum aestivum (bread wheat)
Lineage: Eukaryota; Viridiplantae; Streptophyta; Magnoliopsida; Poales; Poaceae
Description: partial small subunit ribosomal RNA
Source: RNAcentral
AUGAAUCUGUUUUCUGCCGGUCAACUUACUGAUUCUGGUUGUCGUGUCAUCCUUGAUGUUGACUCUUAUUCUGUCCAGGAUCGUCGCACGCACACUCUGGUUGGGGCUGGCCCUCGCCGCCGUGAUUCUCAGGGUCUUUGGGAGUUGGACUGGCUUCAUGUUCCUUCCGCUGCCACCACCAUCGCCAGUUCCUCCGCUGCUGUCGCUUCUGUUACUGGUUCCUUCAAGCAGUGGCAUCAUCGACUUGGUCAUCUGUGUGGUUCUCGAUUAUCGUCUUUAGUUCGUCGAGGUCUUCUGGGGUCUGUCUCGGAGAUGUCUCUUUAG